Non-coding RNA from Cinara cedri, 206 nucleotides. Lineage: Eukaryota; Metazoa; Arthropoda; Insecta; Hemiptera; Aphididae. The record is from the annotation of a GenBank genome assembly.
CGGUCCGUUAAGGCUAAUCGAUUUGCCCGGAUCGCGGUGUCAUCGCGAUACGGCACGUUCGCCAGUUAAUCACCGUGUACCGAUAUUAUCGAACGUUCCCGACUCCGUAUACCGACGUUGCGCACGCGAACAAUAAUAGCCCAAACGUCAAUUCCGUUUUGAACGCGAAUAAUUGUAACCAGCCAACUCGGAUCCGGAUGCGGAAC